CGGCAACAGCUCAAAUUUGAAAUCUGGCCUCUUUGGGGUCCGAGUUGUAAUUUGGAGAGGAUGUUUCGGGUACGGUCCGGGCUUAAAUUUCUUGGAACAGAAUGUCACAGAGGGUGAGAAUCCCGUCUGGAGUCCGGACACGGCCUAUGUGAAACUCCUUCGACGAGUCGAGUUGUUUGGGAAUGCAGCUCUAAAUGGGUGGUAAAUUUCAUCUAAAGCUAAAUAUUGGCCAGAGACCGAUAGCGCACAAGUAGAGUGAUCGAAAGAUGAAAAGCACUUUGAAAAGAGAGUUAAAAAGUACGUGAAAUUGUUGAAAGGGAAGCGCUGGCAACCAGACUCGCACGUCGGGGUUCCCCCUUGCUUUUGCCUGGGUUACUCCCCGGCGUUCAGGCCAACAUCGGUUUCGGGGGUUGGUUAAAGGCCUUGGGAAUGUACUUACCCUCCGGGGUAAACUUAUAGCCCAAGGUGUCAUGCGACCUCCCGGGACCGAGGAACGCGCUUCGGCUCGGAUGUUGGCGUAAUGGUUGUCAGCGACCCGUCUUGAAACACGGACCAAGGAGUCUAACAUCUAUGCGAGUGUUAGGGUGUCAAACCCUUACGCGGAAUGAAAGUGAACGGAGGUAGGAAGCCGUUAGGCUGCACUAUCGACCGAUCCUGAAGUUUACGGAUGGAUUUGAGUAAGAGCAUAGCUGUUGGGACCCGAAAGAUGGUGAACUAUGCCUGAAUAGGGUGAAGCCAGAGGAAACUCUGGUGGAGGCUCGCA
Molecule: ribosomal RNA, 763 nt
Filed under: Cyphellophora suttonii
Lineage: Eukaryota; Fungi; Ascomycota; Eurotiomycetes; Chaetothyriales; Cyphellophoraceae
Description: eukaryotic LSU rRNA
Rfam family: Eukaryotic large subunit ribosomal RNA
Source: RNAcentral